RNAcentral lists this microRNA precursor (124 nucleotides) under Hordeum vulgare. Its description in RNAcentral is "microRNA MIR1122". It matches the Rfam family "MIR1120/MIR1122 microRNA precursor family". Lineage: Eukaryota; Viridiplantae; Streptophyta; Magnoliopsida; Poales; Poaceae. The record is from RNAcentral.
CAUGUACUCACUCCGUCCGAAAAUACUUGUCCUAGAGAUGAAUGUAUCUAGACUUAUUUUAGUUAUAGAUACAUCCAUUAUAUACAUUUUUAGGACAAGUAUUUUCAGACGGAGGGAGUAGUAU